Molecule: unclassified non-coding RNA, 203 nt
Filed under: uncultured fungus
Lineage: Eukaryota; Fungi
Description: partial contains 18S rRNA, ITS1, 5.8S rRNA, ITS2 and 28S rRNA
Source: RNAcentral
AAGGAUCAUUAACAAAUCAUGUUUGCGCACGGGGGGAUAUCCUCCCUGUGCGCAUAUCAGCCCGACCCGGGUAUCCGAAAGGCUAUUCGGGUCAAUCUUGAGGGGUGUGCGAGCGCUUCUUGAGACAUUUACGCUUGUAUUGUUUGACAGAGUAAACAUGACACCAAAAGAUACAACUUUUAACAAUGGAUCUCUUGGCUCUU